CGGCGGGAGAGCUCCCGUCGGCCGCCCCCGGGUGGUCGUGCGGGGCGCCGAAGGAGCAAGUUCCCCUCCGAAUCUCUCAGGCACCCGUACCGCCGU
Molecule: non-coding RNA, 96 nt
Filed under: uncultured Cellulomonas sp.
Lineage: Bacteria; Bacillati; Actinomycetota; Actinomycetes; Micrococcales; Cellulomonadaceae
Description: Glycine riboswitch
Rfam family: Glycine riboswitch aptamer
About the family: This family represents the bacterial glycine riboswitch.
Source: RNAcentral